GGAUGGCUCAGCUGGUUAGAGUGUGGUGCUGAUUACGCCAAGGUUGCAGGUUCGAUCCUUGUAUGGGGCAGCU
This 73-nucleotide transfer RNA is filed under the name Podarcis lilfordi (Lilford's wall lizard). RNAcentral's name for it is "tRNA.Ile". The record is from RNAcentral. Lineage: Eukaryota; Metazoa; Chordata; Lepidosauria; Squamata; Lacertidae.